This 399-nucleotide ribosomal RNA is filed under the name uncultured crenarchaeote. RNAcentral's name for it is "bacterial SSU rRNA". It matches the Rfam family "Archaeal small subunit ribosomal RNA", at positions 469 to 869 of the family's 1478-position model. Lineage: Archaea; Thermoproteati; Thermoproteota. The record is from RNAcentral.
GGUAAACCAGCACCUCAAGUGGUCAGGAUGAUUAUUGGGCCUAAAGCAUCCGUAGCCGGCGCUGUAAGUUUUCGGUUAAAUCUGUACGCUCAACGUACAGGCUGCCGGGAAUACUGCAGCGCUAGGGAGUGGGAGAGGUAGACGGUACUCGGUAGGAAGGGGUAAAAUCCUUUGAUCUAUUGAUGACCACCUGUGGCGAAGGCGGUCUACCAGAACACGUCCGACGGUGAGGGAUGAAAGCUGGGGGAGCAAACCGGAUUAGAUACCCGGGUAGUCCCAGCUGUAAACUAUGCAAACUCAGUGAUGCAUUGGCUUGUGGCCAAUGCAGUGCUGCAGGGAAGCCGUUAAGUUUGCCGCCUGGGAAGUACGUACGCAAGUAUGAAACUUAAAGGAAUUGCG